Suricata suricatta (meerkat) is the source of this 1179-nucleotide long non-coding RNA. RefSeq lists it as uncharacterized. The record is from RefSeq and is a predicted model, not a curated record. The transcript has 2 exons. NCBI's taxonomy places the organism in Eukaryota, Metazoa, Chordata, Mammalia, Carnivora, Herpestidae.
CACCGCGUACGACGGCCGGCGGCGAGGGGGCGGGACCGACGCGGGCCGAGAUCAAUGGAAGAACCAGAUUGGGUGGAAGGAGCGGAAAUGGGGGCCGGCGCGGUCGCGAGAUUCGAAGCUGGCGCGCGGGACCGGGGAUCCGGCUGGUCUUGAGGCAGGAGCCGCACGGAUGGGUCCCCAAGUGUAAUGCGCCCCAGAGAACGCCUUAGUGAGGUUUCUACACGUUCAUCUGUGAGUACAAAUGACAGUCUGCCUGCCCAACUGUGUUCAAGUUGUCUAACGCGCUCUAAAGGAUCAGGAGUGUCCGGUCCAUAAAAGCUCUUCGAAAAGGGGAAUUCCUUUGAGCCGGAUUCGAACCAGCGACCUAAGGAUGACCAUGACCACACAUGUACAGUCCUCCGCUCUACCAACUGAGCUGUCAGGAUGGGUAGCAGGGCUUGUUAGAAUACCUUAAUGUUUCUCCCACUGGUUUUAUUUGGACUGUAGUUAAAAAUCUAGGCGAAUGUGCAGGUUAUUUUCUAGAGCGCUGGGAAUGGUUCUAAAACUGAUAGGGGUCGUGACCAUAGAGGCGUAUGUUUAAAAAUUAAUAUCCGUGAAGUUUUGUGCUUUUUACUGCCUGCUUCAGUUCGUUAGAAAAGGAGACAACACCCUCGUGUUCCAUGUCCUUGUCCCUCUGGUGUAGGUAGGACCACCACCUGUUCCUCCUGCGGCCCCCACGGUCCCAGCUGCCUGCUGCCUCUCUGAACACGGACACGUCUCGUCCAAGGAAAACAGUGUACACAUGGCAAUGUGCUAGAGCCAGACCAUGGGAGGCAUGUGUAUGUGUGUGUGUUUAGGAAUUGAGUGCCUCCUUUUGGAGUGGAACAAAUAAAUACACCGCUCCCCAGUUUUGAGAAGAGGAAUGCAGACAUUUGGGGUGCUGUCGUGCAUGGCUAAUGAGCACCAGUAAAGGCGUUUGGCUUCCGAGCUGAACACGGUUGGAGAAAACAGGAAGCCAUCUGGACAGAUUUAUCAUUAGAAAAGAUUUCUGGUAAAUUUAUCUAUAAAAGAUUAUUUCUUCCUUAAAAAUUACUCCAUAACUGUAGUCUUGAAAAACUACGCCCAAUGAUUUCUGUGAGAAAUCUGCAAUUAGUUAUUCUGUUUGUCUCAUGAGGUACUAAGAGUAAAUGGUCUAGUACA